Long non-coding RNA from Monomorium pharaonis (pharaoh ant), 4598 nucleotides. RefSeq lists it as uncharacterized. The transcript has 2 exons. NCBI's taxonomy places the organism in Eukaryota, Metazoa, Arthropoda, Insecta, Hymenoptera, Formicidae. The record is from RefSeq and is a predicted model, not a curated record.
GUCUGACGUGCAGGAUAUUAUGAACGAGGGUAUGGCGUCGUCGAGGAGGAGGAGAAGGUGGUGGAGUAGUAACCGGGGGUGCCUCCAGAGGGCUGGCGGGGACCGGGGACCGGCGGUUGGGCGAAGGGGUGACGGUGGUGCGGCGGUACCCAGGCAAAACUACCCGCCUCGGCUCACUCUUCUGCCUCCAGAACCACCCACCAGCCCAUUCGUCUAGCUUAAACUAUAUUCCGACCUAACCUCCGCGCGUAGGGUACCUUCCUUCUCCGCCAACCCUACCUACCAUCUGACAGCCAGGCGAUACUUGCUCGAAGGCGAUGCGCCGCCGAUGCUUUUCGCACCCUUGUCGUUUCCUACAUUCCCUCCCUCUCCCCCAAGCCUCUCCCCUUCUCCGUUUUCUCUCGCUCGUCCUCUUUCCAUCACGCUUUCCGCUUCCUAUUCUCUAUUUUUACGCCAGGCUCAUCCGGAUGUCACGGGCGCGAGCGCGAGCUAAAAUCGGAACAGCGCAACGGAAGUGGGGAAGGUUACAGCUCGUGUUGACGUAUGUUUUGUAUUCAUUGUCCGUGUGUUAUUUUAGGUUAAAUGUCUGUUUUCCCGCGUCGAGGGUGUACCUGCAUCGUCGCCUCGCGCCUCGCUCCCUCAUGAAUCCGUUCUUUCGCGCCGCACUGUAACAUUCCUUCAAGGCUCGCCUCGGGAGUCUCAAAAUUAGAGAUAUCAGUUUGCAUAGAUGAAGAGGAAACGGUCAGAGAACCGUGUACAUUUGUGCUUUCAUUUUUAAUAAAAAUUAACUGAGAUUUUAGCUAAGAAAUAAUUGAGAAACUUGAGAAUAUUACAGAUUUUUAAUGCAUUACAAAUUGUAAACUAAAAUUGUCUUCCACGUUGAUGUAAAAAAUGAUGAAUGACAUUCUUGUUGUCUGUUAAGAUAAGAUGUAGGAAGUAAUUCUGUGUUUCGAUCUUUCGAAAUAGUCAAGCAUAUCUACAAAAUAAAUGUAUUAUCGAUAAAACUUUAGUAUAAUUCAUUGUCGACUGUGUUGGCAUUACACAGUCAAAUCUCCCGAAGAAAUAUCAAGAUAUCACAUUCUUUCUUCUUGCGAUACUUUCUUUUUAUUCGAACGGACAAAAUUAAGUUCGACAUUUCAUUUCUUCGCGUCUUCUAAGCGUUACGGUGGCGCGUAACUCGUCGAGGUUGCGGAAACUUUUUGGAUAGACGAUUCGUCGUCGCGCGAAGUGUCACACUGACGGCGGAAUAUAGCUGAAGCACGUGUACGAGUAUAUUGUGGAGGGAGGUAGGAUGGGGUAUGAGUGCAUGGUAUAUAUCUAUACAGUGUCUACAGGGGGUAGAAGUAUAAGCUUUCCUCUCGCAAAUGAGGUAAUAUAUAUACAAAAGCUAAUACGACCGAAAGUUGCCAACUUGGAUGAGUCUCUCCUCCGCAUCCCUCUACCCGCCGCUUCUCCUUCCCCGCGCGCGGACUACCUCCUCUAAAUAUUUUAAAGGAUCGUGACACUCGGGUCUAUGAGUUGCCGUCCUUGGGGAGGGACGCUUGAAACUCAAAAGGCCGUCGGAGUGAAGGACAAAAAUAUCGCGAACUGUGACAUUUGGACAGUUUCGUUUCGUAGAGUCCUUCAGAUAAACAAUUGCCGUCAGUAAGAAAAGAAAACCGGCUUUAUGCGGAUAAAUCGUGCAAGGCGCCACAAGCCAAUUGAAAUUACUGCGCCGAGAAACGCGGGAAGACAUAGUGGCUAGGUAAGUAAGAGUAACGGGGAGAAGUGUUUCGAGGAGAGAAAUCCACGUUCUCCAAAAUGGCGCUGAAUGGGCGCAAUAAAACCGAAGGCUGUAUUUUAUCGGAUACGUUAACAGCUUCGUAAAUCAGUGCCCGGACCGUUUCGGGUUUAAUGCGGCGCGUAUCGCCCGACAAUUUAAGACGAAGGCUUGCCGUGGUUGCGUCUUGGCCACGAAAAUCGAAAUCCGCGAAAGAAUAUUUUAAGUACCCUUUACUAAUUACGUUAUCGGUUUACUAUCUGUUUGCAAUGUAUUGUAAAAUUCGCUUAGAGCGCGCAUCGUCGACUUGUUACAUCGUUGUCAUCGUUGGCGCAAUUAUUAUUUAUGAUAUGAUGUAUAGCACGUUCGAGCGGCAAUUGUUAUCGCCCGCAUAAUUAUUGCCGCAAUAUAUUGGCGAGUAUUACGAGCAUUCAUUUUUUUUUUUACUAUUUCUUGCGAUUACGUAAAUAAAUUCGGCUAUAUACUUCUAAUCGCAUUCUUACAUUCCUCAUGUGAUGUAUGUUUUUCUAAAAGAAAUGAGUAAUAAUACGUAACUUUCCCGCGUACAAGAAUGCAGCGUAACUAUGCAGAUUGCAGCAAGAAGUCUCCCCGCAAGACAUAGAAUGCAUUAUUAACAACCGCAACGGCGAGAGUCGAUCGAUCCAUCUCGAUCGUCAAGCUUCGGAGUAUUCAGCGCGAAGCGGCUUUUGUCGCUGACGGGGACGAUUUCCUCGUCUCUCGCAUCCUAAGACUAAGACUAGAAACUACGGGAUCGUCUCGCCGGCAGAUUCUCCCCCAGCCGUGCUUCUUUCACAAUCAACUAGAUUGAGAGCUCGCGGACGAAGUUAGAUCAAACAAACGCGCGGGUGCAGCCGCGCGUAUCGCGAAUUGCGAAUUCGCGCGAGCCGGGGAGAACGAAAGUGGAGAGAUGCAGAGCAUAAUCUAGCCUGUUUGAGGAGAACUGCCGCCGACUGCAAGUUAGAACAAACUCUCAGCAACAUAUUCUCCAGGAACGUCGUCGUAGCCGGCAACCAAUUCGCCAACGUCGCGACCAAACCAUUCCCCUUACACCUCGUCCAUGUCUCUUCCUUUUAGACGUUCAGACGUAUCCUUUCGGACAUUGCGCAAUUAGAUAAAAUAAUAUCGUUCACCGUAAGCAUAAACGCACGUGGGUAGCCACAGGUGAGGGCAGCGAAUGGGUUUUUGCUCGUGAUGCGAGAUGUAUUCGCUUCCACCAAUUUUGCAUACUCGACUUGAAUAGAGAAGCGGGGCGUUGAACAUUUUAGAUCGCGCCCUGAAACUUUCGGAUUAUUUAUAUCUGGUUCAGUGACCAGUAAUGAAAUAUUCAUGCGAUGAAUCCCGUCCUAUUGUCUCUCUCUCUCUCUGUAAGUAUCUACGCAAUUUAUGCAACUCGAAGCUCGUACAGGACGCGGCGUAUCUCUACGAUGUAGAUCACACACUGUAAUAUUUUUCAUUUAAACGUAUAAAAGCGAGUUUGAUUUUGGAAAAAAACGGUGUGCAAUAUUCAGACAUAUUUCUAAAGCAAUUGUAAAAUAAUUUAUAUUGUUAAUUAAGCUUUAGCGUCUCUACGAUAUAGAUUUGUCAUUGAUAUGUAAUAUUUUUUGUAUAAAAGCGAGCUUGACUUUAAAAAUAGCGAUUUGCAGUACUUAAAUAUAUUUGUAACGCAUCUAUCAGACGUUUAAUGAAACAAAGACUUUGUACAUUGAAAAUAAUUUAUAUAAUUAAUCGAGUAUCUCGGUACAUGGCGUAUUCUGCCAACAUCGAGAUUGGCGAUCAAUCCAACGACUACCGGCAUUUUCCCUUCGCUCGCGUAUCGCUAGCAAUUAGAUAAAGCAAUAUCCUGUGAGAGUAAAUAGAAAUAGAAUUACUACAAUUAAUUUAAGCACACGAUGAGAGUCGAGUUUAGAGAAUCUACUUGAUAAUUUCAAAUUCUAAGACGAUUAAAAUUAUUAAUUCAAGUUAAACGUAUUUUGAACAGCAUUUGAAUUUUUUUAAAAUUGAGAUUUAAUUUAAUAAACUUGGAAUUAUGAUAUCGUCAUUUAUCAUUUUAUUUUGGUAGAACAUUUGAUAAAUAAUCGUUCAAUUGUAUAAAUUCUUUAUUUUUUGAUUCUCUGUUUCUAAUAAAUCUUUUUCAAACAAUAAAAUCGCUGAGUGAAUGAAUUUCUACGCUUCUAUAAACUCUUCUAUGCAAACUGAUAAUAUUCGCACAAUAAUUUAUACAAUUAGAAAAUUAAAUUAUUUUUUCCAAUUAGAUAGUACGAAAUUACAAUAUUUACUGUCGCUCUAAGUUAUUAGAGAUAGGUUUUUUCGUCGGUGACCGAAUCAGGAAGAUAGAGGCAGCGAAACUGAUGGCUCAUGAAUAUUCAUUUCUUGCCGGUUUCUUACAGGUCGACGGGGGUGAGCACAGAACGGUGCAGCCAGGGCUGUACUUUUAAGCAUGGGAGUGGGGGUUCUGGAUCAAUGCCGAGACCACGCCUCCUUCGUCUUACAUCUUGCACCCUGUGUCUCCCCCCCAAACACCGUGGGCACCUUCCUUUCCUUUUGCUUUUCCACCCUCUUCCCUAUCUUCAUACCUCGCGGAAAAUCCGCCCCGGACGUGCAAAUACGUAUAUUAAAAGCAAUAAAAACUAUACUAUAUGUAUAAUACACAAAACUUUAUUGAUAUUAAUUGUACAAUAUUAUGAAACAAUUGAGAAAAAUAUAUAUUACGAAAAUAUAUAACACAUGCACAGAGAUUUUUGGAUUGAGAUAGAAGAAAACAAUAUUGUAAUCAUUACAAUGUAUAGUGUGCGUAAAAAAAUAUAUUUUUGUAAAAACA